RNAcentral lists this transfer RNA (74 nucleotides) under Sphaerodactylus townsendi. RNAcentral's name for it is "tRNA-Ala". Lineage: Eukaryota; Metazoa; Chordata; Lepidosauria; Squamata; Sphaerodactylidae. The record is from RNAcentral.
GGAGCUGUGUGGCUUCAUGGUAGAGCAUCAGCUCAGCAUGCAGAAGGUCCCAGGUUCAAUCACCAGCAUCUUCA